UGAGCUAGUAGAGGUAUGUGGUGAAGUGAGCUAGUAGAGGUAGGUGGUGAAGUGAGCUAGUAAAGGUAGGUGGUGAAGUGAGCUAGUAGAGGUAGGUGGUGAAGUGAGCUAGUAGAGGUAGGUGGUGAAGUGAGCUAGUAGAGGUAGGUGGUGAAGUGAGCUAGUAGAGGUAGGUGCUGAAGUGAGCAAGCUAGCCUGUAUCAAUAGAAGCAAGUCGUCCUUCGCAGCGUCACUUCGCAGUUCCAGAUGUUGCCGGUGGUUUCUCAUCUGCAAUCACGCCGUUAGUUUCACGUGUGCGCUGUUCCGUCACACGCUGAGCUUCAGGUCGGCAAACUAAAGUUAACGAACACGUCCGCUCUGCUCAAUCACCUAAAAACGAUAAAACGGAGGCGGAGGCCGGACUUACUUUAACGUCUAUGAAAAGGGUCCACGCGCCCACAGGUGUUAGAAAGACUUGUUAGCUUCAGGCUAGCUCCUCCUGUUCACCGCCGUCCAGACAGCGUUAGCUUAGCAACAACUACCAACAACGCCAACUGCCACCGGCGGUGUCAAAGACCCCCCCAACAAUAAAACACGGAGCCGGUAUCCGCUUAUCAGAAUGUAUUCAUACGUACCCCGUCACGUGAACUGUGCCGAACAUGACGUCCCGUCGGUGGGUCGAAGGUGGCGGUUCUUGCGUCGGGGUGAAGUAACGUUAGCUAAGUUAGCUGAAAACUCCGAUUGAUACGUCACGACCAAAGAUCGUUUGCUGAGACGAGAGACACUCUCCGCCUCACUUCCUGGUUUGCUUCUAAACCGACAGCAAUUACAUUCAGCAGAAUGGUUUAAUGCGUAUUUACGCGAUGACAUUGGGUGAAAGGGAUCGGAAUAAAAUAUUAAAAAACAAAGAAAUAAACAUUGAAGUGUAUCAUGUUUAUUAUAUAGUCAGGCAGUACUUGGAUUGGUAGAUGGAUCACUUGAAUUCACAAACUACUGCUUCUACAAUGACAUUCAGCCACUAAUGUUUUUUUCAGCGUGGUUAUUUUAGCUUCGUCAACAAUAUCACUUUCUGGAAAAUAUUAAAUUACAAAAACAAAUGCAAUCGUGAAAUAAUAGGAGUGCAAAACUGGACUGGCCCAGAGGCUAUUUUUUGACUAGGGGGUUAUAUUAUUAAAGGAUAAUAAAAAAUAAUAAUGUUUAAUAGAAAAAGGAGUUGGUGGUGAUAAGUAGAAUAUGCCGUUCCAUUUAGUCCAAGAAUCAUAAAGUUGCAUUUAAUGUCCUUUAGUUAUUAAAAGAUAAGUUUAAUUAACAAAUUGUUCUCGGGGUAAAAUAUUUGCGUUGGCAGAUGUUGACACAUGUAGGCCUAAAAUAUGCCUUCGAUUACACAAAUCAAUCCCUGCCUUUUAAAUGAGCGAUGAAUCCCCAAACUAUGUAAUUAAGUAAAGCAAAAAGUUGUUUCUGUCUCGGUGUUACUUGUUUCUUUGCAUUCUGUGUCCCACAACCCACCACAAUGCAAGUCAGCAUUAGACCGUUGUUGUGAGAAUUGAGGAAAUCCUUCAGCCUCCUUCGGGUCCUCGCUGAGGAGCAGUCAGCAUGUGGACCACACGUCUCCUCAACAUCUCCCCACUAGAGGUCUCCCUGGAGGGAAGACCAACAGCUUUACUCUCCUUGUUUCGCAUUCUCCCUUGUGGUGUCUCUGUUCCUGUUUUCAUUGCUCUUCUCUCUUACUUCCCUUUCCCCGCCCGGUCCUUCUUAUCAUUCUCCUUCUUCCUAAUAGCCUUUCCUCUCCUCCGCC
Long non-coding RNA from Gasterosteus aculeatus aculeatus (three-spined stickleback), 1774 nucleotides. Lineage: Eukaryota; Metazoa; Chordata; Actinopteri; Perciformes; Gasterosteidae. The record is from Ensembl.